RNAcentral lists this ribosomal RNA (419 nucleotides) under uncultured bacterium. RNAcentral describes it as "bacterial SSU rRNA". It matches the Rfam family "Bacterial small subunit ribosomal RNA", at positions 355 to 787 of the family's 1533-position model. The record is from RNAcentral.
UGGGGAAUAUUGGGCAAUGGGCGAAAGCCUGACCUAGCAACGCCGCGUGAGGGAAGAAGGGUUUCGGCUCGUAAACCUCUGUCCUAUGGGACGAAGGAAGUGACGGUACCAUAGGAGGAAGCCCCGGCUAACUACGUGCCAGCAGCCGCGGUAAUACGUAGGGGGCGAGCGUUGUCCGGAAUGAUUGGGCGUAAAGGGCGCGUAGGCGGCCCGUUAAGUCUGGAGUGAAAGUCCUGCUUUCAAGGUGAGAAUUGCUUUGGAUACUGAUGGGCUGGAGUGCAGGAGAGGAAAUGCGGAAUUACCGGUGUAGCGGUGAAAUGCGUAGAGAUCGGUAGGAACACCAGUGGCGAAGGCGGCUUUCUGGACUGAAACUGACGCUGAGGCGCGAAAGCGUGGGGAGCAAACAGGAUUAGAUACCC